AUUGAACGCUGGCGGCAUGCCUUACACAUGCAAGUCGAACGGCAGCGCGGGAGCAAUCCUGGCGGCGAGUGGCGAACGGGUGAGUAAUAUAUCGGAACGUGCCCAGUAGUGGGGAUAGCCGGCGAAAGCCGGAUUAAUACCGCAUGAGACCUGAGGGUGAAAGCGGGGGAGUCGCAAGACCUCGCGCUAUUGGAGCGGCCGAUAUCAGAUUAGCUAGUUGGUGGGGUAAAGGCCUACCAAGGCAACGAUCUGUAGUUGGUCUGAGAGGACGACCAGCCACACUGGGACUGAGACACGGCCCAGACUCCUACGGGAGGCAGCAGUGGGGAAUUUUGGACAAUGGGCGCAAGCCUGAUCCAGCAAUGCCGCGUGCAGGAAGAAGGCCU
Molecule: ribosomal RNA, 386 nt
Filed under: uncultured bacterium
Lineage: Bacteria
Description: bacterial SSU rRNA
Rfam family: Bacterial small subunit ribosomal RNA
Source: RNAcentral